AUACGAACCGGACAAACGUUAUUCGGAAUUAUUGGGCUUAAAGGGUGCGUAGGCGGCGCGGUAAGUGAGGUGUGAAAGCCCACGGCUCAACCGUGGAAUUGCGCUUCAUACUGCCGUGCUAGAGGGAGACAGAGGUAAGCGGAACUGAUGGUGGAGCGGUGAAAUGCGUUGAUAUUAUCAGGAACACCGGUGGCGAAGGCGGCAACCUGGAUAUUUUCUGACGCUGAGGUGCGAAAGCGUGGGUAUCGAACAGAAUUAGAAACCCGAGUAGUCC
This 274-nucleotide ribosomal RNA is filed under the name uncultured bacterium. RNAcentral describes it as "partial 16S ribosomal RNA". It matches the Rfam family "Bacterial small subunit ribosomal RNA", at positions 523 to 796 of the family's 1533-position model. The record is from RNAcentral.